UGUUGUUCAGUUUCCAC
Molecule: non-coding RNA, 17 nt
Filed under: Mus musculus (house mouse)
Lineage: Eukaryota; Metazoa; Chordata; Mammalia; Rodentia; Muridae
Source: RNAcentral